UACGUAGGUCCCGAGCGUUGUCCGGAUUUACUGGGUGUAAAGGGAGCGUAGACGGCAGUGCAAGUCUGGAGUGAAAGGCGGGGGCUCAACCCCCGGACUGCUCUGGAAACUGUACGGCUGGAGUGCAGGAGAGGUAAGUGGAAUUCCUAGUGUAGCGGUGAAAUGCGUAGAUAUUAGGAGGAACACCAGUGGCGAAGGCGGCUUACUGGACUGUAACUGACGUUGAGGCUCGAAAGCGUGGGGAGCAAACAGG
Molecule: ribosomal RNA, 253 nt
Filed under: uncultured bacterium
Lineage: Bacteria
Description: partial 16S ribosomal RNA
Rfam family: Bacterial small subunit ribosomal RNA
Source: RNAcentral